CAGCAGCCGCGGUAAUACGUAGGUCCCGAGCGUUGUCCGGAUUUAUUGGGCGUAAAGCGAGCGCAGGCGGUUAGAUAAGUCUGAAGUUAAAGGCUGUGGCUUAACCAUAGUACGCUUUGGAAACUGUUUAACUUGAGUGCAAGAGGGGAGAGUGGAAUUCCAUGUGUAGCGGUGAAAUGCGUAGAUAUAUGGAGGAACACCGGUGGCGAAAGCGGCUCUCUGGCUUGUAACUGACGCUGAGGCUCGAAAGCUUGGGGAGCAAACAGGAUUAGAUACCCCCGUAGUCCCUGUCUCUUAUACA
This 301-nucleotide ribosomal RNA is filed under the name uncultured bacterium. Its description in RNAcentral is "partial 16S ribosomal RNA". It matches the Rfam family "Bacterial small subunit ribosomal RNA", at positions 509 to 808 of the family's 1533-position model. The record is from RNAcentral.